CCUACGGGAGGCUGCAGUGAGGGAUAUUGGUCAAUGGCCGUAAGGCUGAACCAGCCAAGUCGCGUGAAGGAAGAAGGAUCUAUGGUUUGUAAACUUCUUUUAUAGGGGAAUAAAGGUAUCCACGUGUGGAUAUUUGCAUGUACCCUAUGAAUAAGCAUCGGGUAACUCCGUGCCAGAAGCCGCGGUAAUACGGAGGAUGCGAGCGUUAUCCGGAUUUAUUGGGUGUAAAGGGUGCGUAGGUUGUUUGUUAAGUCAGCGGGGAAAGUUUGUGGCUCAACCAUAAAAUUGCCGUUGAAACUGGAAGACUUGAGUGUGUUUGAGGUAGGCGGAAUGCGUGGUGUAGCGGUGAAAUGCAUAGAUAUCACGCAGAACUCCGAUUGCGAAGGCAGCUUACGAAGCCAUAACUGACACUGAAGCACGAAAGCGUGGGGAUCAAACAGGAUUAGAUACCCGGGUAGUC
RNAcentral lists this ribosomal RNA (460 nucleotides) under uncultured bacterium. RNAcentral describes it as "partial 16S ribosomal RNA". It matches the Rfam family "Bacterial small subunit ribosomal RNA", at positions 338 to 795 of the family's 1533-position model. The record is from RNAcentral.